UACGGAGGGUGCAAGCGUUACUCGGAAUCACUGGGCGUAAAGGACGCGUAGGCGGUUAGGAAAGUCAGAUGUGAAAUCCUAUGGCUCAACCAUAGAACAGCAUCUGAAACUCUCUAACUAGAGUGAGGGAGAGGUCAGUGGAAUUAGUGGUGUAGGGGUAAAAUCCGUAGAGAUCACUAGGAAUACCUAUUGCGAAGGCGACUGACUGGAACUUAACUGACGCUGAGGCGUGAAAGCGUGGGGAGCAAACAGGAUUAGAUACCCUGGUAGUCCACGCCCUAAACGAUGUACACUAGUUGUUGCCAUGCUAGACAUGGCAGUGAUGCAGUUAACACAUUAAGUGUACCGCCUGGGGAGUACGGUCGCAAGAUUAAAACUCAAAGGAAUAGACGGGGACCCGCACAAGUGGUGGAGCAUGUGGUUUAAUUCGAAGAUACGCGAAGAACCUUACCUGGGCUUGACAUCCCAAGGACUCUGUAGAGAUACGGGGGUGCCAGUUUAACUGGAACUUGGAGACAGGUGCUGCACGGCUGUCGUCAGCUCGUGUCGUGAGAUGUUGGGUUAAGUCCCGCAACGAGCGCAACCCUCGUCCUUAGUUGCUAACAGGAAAAGCUGAGCACUCUAAGGAGACUGCCUUCGUAAGGAGGAGGAAGGUGAGGACGACGUCAAGUCAUCAUGGCCCUUAUGUCCAGGGCGACACACGUGCUACAAUGGGUAGGACAAUGAGAGGCGAUACCGUGAGGUGGAGCAAAUCUAUAAACCUACUCUCAGUUCGGAUUGCAGUCUGCAACUCGACUGCAUGAAGCUGGAAUCACUAGUAAUCGCGGAUCAGCCAUGCCGCGGUGAAUACGUUCCCGGGUC
Molecule: ribosomal RNA, 861 nt
Filed under: uncultured bacterium
Lineage: Bacteria
Description: bacterial SSU rRNA
Rfam family: Bacterial small subunit ribosomal RNA
Source: RNAcentral